This is an RNA transcript of Alosa sapidissima (American shad), 2586 nucleotides long. RefSeq lists it as uncharacterized. The record is from RefSeq and is a predicted model, not a curated record. Lineage: Eukaryota; Metazoa; Chordata; Actinopteri; Clupeiformes; Clupeidae. The transcript has 8 exons.
AAAAUAUCGGUUUCCAUGUGUAGGCUAUGUGCUGGAUGGUGUGCUUCCUUUAUGAAAACCAGACUCAAUGAAGCCUUGGCAAGAGUGGAAAGUCUGGAGCGAGAAAAGAAGAAUGCCAUGGCCAGAGAAAACAGGGCAAAGACCACAGUGAGGAGUCUUUUUGAGGAAUUGAAGGAAAAGAACCUCAUUAAUGAAGAGCUCAAAGACAAACUUGAAUUUUACUCCGAUCUUCAGAUAGACCUCAUGGCAAAGCAGGGCCAUGAGUACACAAAGGAGUACAGAGAGUUUGCGCUCACACUCCAUUUACACGGUCCAAAGGCGUACAGAUACCUGAGAGAGACUCGACAUUUUCCCCUCCCCAUCCACAUCCAUUACAAAGACAUGGGAGAUGGAAGCAGUGAGACUGAUGUUGCGACUGAGGCUCUUGUGUUCAUGGUGGUUGGCCUACAAGGACAUUGGAAGGCUCCUAUAGCUUCCUUCCUGGCCAAGUCUCUCUCUCCUGAAACACAAAGGGUCCUUCUCGGUCAUGCUUUGGAGGAGCUGCAUGCACGGGGCAUUCGGGUGGUAUGCGUAACAAUGGAUGGGCCUCCAAUGAGUGCAACCAACUUGGGUGUGAGCUGAAGGGCGACCCACGAGAGCCACUUCAAACCAGUUUCUCACAUCCGGUGACUGGCAAGAAAGUUUUUGUAAUGAUGGAUGCUUGCCACAUGCUCAAGUUGGCACGUAAUAUGUUGCAGGCAUACAGUCCAAUUACAACGACCACUGGACAGAUCACUUGGAGUGUGUUUUUCAGGUCCUAGAUGCUUCUAAAUGGUAUGUAUUACACAACAUCAACUUUAUGCAGGUGUAAGAAAGAUGGUAAGUAUGUUGAUCUGAUGUCUUUUUAAAUGUUUUUCAAUAUGCAGUUUUGUUUCUGUUGGAAUUGUCUUGUAUUCAGUGUGUUUCAGGUCCUAGAUGUUUCUAAAUGGUAUGUAUUGCAAUUACAUUGUUCCAAGUUAUUGUUCCAUUGUCUACAAGUAUACUGUAUACGUUAAACAAGGAACUGAUCCCAUUCCUAAAACAGGGAUGCAAACAAAUUAUCUAUUCGCCCUGGUAGCUGUUUAUCAUUUUAAUUUUCUGUGAGUUUGCACCCCUGUGAUAGGCACUCAAGAACAGGCUUCCCACGGGUCAUGGAAUUUCUGGAAUAUCAUGGCACUUUGGAAAGUCUAUUCCAGACAUGGAAAGUCAGGGAAUUUCUAUCAUUUAUUUUUGGAGCAAAGUAAUGGAAUAUCAGGGAAUUUUGAUGUAGCAGUUUACAUUUGUGGGAACCCUGCAACCCCUGGGUGUCUUGUUUCGCCAUGAUCAGAGCCAGUUCCAGGCCAUCUUCCGCCGUCUGAUGGUUCGGUGUGGUGUCUCAUCUGGUGAGACAGGCCAUGUGGCUGCCCAAGACAGCAGUGUGUCCCUGUCUGCUGUGGAGAUGUCCUCUGCUGAAACUGCUGAAGAGCACACAUCUCCAUUCGCUAACAUUUCAGCCCUUGUGUGUGACCACAGUUAUCUCCCCACUCGGUUUGGUGGUCUGGUGGAAAAUACUCUGGUCUACAUAGCAGGGUUUGUAGUCCGGCAGGUUCUACGAAAGCUGUCCUGUGAUGUGUGCCAUGUAAGCUUGGUCGGUGAGGCUGUACCAUCUUUAUUUGACAAGAGCUACCACCUUCUAGCCCUGAAAAACAACGGCGGCCUAGUGAUUCCAUCACAAGGCACAGUGAAGGUGCUGAGAGCUGCAGAGAGGGUGAUCCGCCAAGCUUCAGCAAUGCAGGCUCCCAAGGUGUCGACAGUUACACACAUCGUCCGGGAGGAGAUUGGAACGGAGGAUGUUUUUCUGCUUGGGGAACACAUUGAGGAGACACAGUUUGGCAUUGACAACCAUCAUUCUGACCUGUUGUCAUUGGUUGUGCCUGUGUUUCUCAAGAUAAGGCUGCACCACAUUGCCAAGCUCACCUCUCUUGAACUGCAGAAAGGGAGCACAGGAAAGAAGCUCUGCAAAACAGUGCUGUUUCAGGGGUUUUAGCUUGUGUGUGUGUGAGUGUGAGGAGGGGGGUUGCUACAUGUCAAGGGCUGGAAGGAGAUGGAUGCAGAAGAAUGUGGUAGUACAGUAUGUGUGUGUGUGUAUGAGUAUGACUGAGAGAGACAAAUGACACUCCAAGUAGAAUCUAAUGCAAUGUAAUCAUAGUGUUUAUUCAACUUAAAAUAUCUUUACUGUCACUAUCUGUUUCUGCUUCUCUAUCAUAUUUAUAGUGUGUGAUUUGCAAAAUGCCUAUCAUAGCUUACACCUCAUACGGUUAUGGUUGCACUUUUGUCCAAAGUGACAUAUAAAUACUUAAACAGGGAGGAGAUUGAGAUGUUGGCCAGACUAUAAUAAGGAGAGUAGCAUUAAUAAACAACAAUGUCAAUUCAGUCAAUAGUAUAAUGAAAUAAACAAUCAAAAUGAGGGGAAAUGUCAAUAAUAAACAAUGUCAAUUCAAUCAACAAUAUAUUUACAAUAGCAUGGUAAGGCUACAUUAAGGAGAAUAUCAGUAAUAAACAACAAUGUCAAAUUAAUCAACAGCCUAA